GAACAAAGCAGUAAACUCCGGUGUCCGCAUAGCACUCCGUGCGCGAUCCCAUCUCCUCCAAUCGGAGAGGACCAACACUUGAAUGACUCCAUUGCUGCACACAUCUGCCCUUUGUUCUUCUCCUCCUCCUGUCUCAACGCUGACCGCUGACCCUAUCGCUUACUCCUUUGUUGCGUCUUUUCUUGGCAGAGUAGAGCGGCUUCUUCUCCGCUGGACCGGCAGCAACUGCUUAGGAGACAGCGGGAAGAUGGCCACGGCGGAGCCGAUCAUGAACGCCUCGCUCGUCCCGGACUCCGAGCUCAUUUCUCGGGCCGUCCAGGCCGCCUAUGGGACCAUCCGCGCCGCCCGUGACGUCCUCGUCGAGCGCCACAGCUUUGCCGAGCUGGCCGCCUACCUGGACCGCGUCGUCCCCAUCCUCGACCAGCUGAAGCCCACGACGCCCGCCGCGAACCGUGACGGCAGUUCCCCCCUCGCCGACGCCGCUGGGAUCCUCGCCCGCGAGGUCGAGGCCGCCCGGGUUCUCGCCCUCGAUUGCGGCAAGCGCAACCGCAUCUAUCUCCUCCUCAACUGCCGCCGCAUCGUCAACCGCCUUGAGUCCGCCACCAGGGAGAUCGGCCGCGCCAUUAACCUCCUCCCCCUCGCUUCCCUCGAUCUCUCCUCCGCGAUCCGCGACGAGGCCAAACUUCUCAGCGAUUCCAUGGUCCGGGCCGAGUUCCGGGCCGCCGCCGCCGAGGAGGAAACCCUGCGAAAGUUGGAGUCGGCCAUCCAGGAGCACAACUCCGACCGGUCCUACGCGAACAGCCUGCUGGCCCUCAUCGCGGACGCCGUGGGGAUCUCCAAGGACCGUACCGUUCUCAAGAAGGAGUUCGCGGAGUUCAAGGAGGAGGUAGCGGAGGCCAAGCUGCGGAAGGACCUCGCGGAGGCGAUUCAGAUGGAUCAGAUCAUUGCCCUGCUCUCUAGGGCGGACGCCACCUCGUCAUUCAAGGAGAAGGAGGCGAAGUAUUACAGCAAGAGGAACUCGUUGGGGAGCCAGCCAUUGGAGCCCCUCCAGUCCUUCUACUGCCCCAUCACCCGUGACGUGAUGGAGGAUCCCGUGGAGACUUCUUCUGGGCAGACCUUCGAGAGGAGCGCGAUUGAGAGGUGGUUCGCGGACGGCAACACCACUUGUCCGCUCACCAUGACACCUCUCAACACCGGCUUCCUUCGGCAUAACAUCACUCUUAGGAAGUCCAUCGAGGAGUGGAAGGAGAGGAACAACAUCAUAAUUAUCUCUUCGAUGAAGUCCAAGCUCAGUUUGGACGACGAGGUGGUGCUCAGGAGCUUGGCCCAGCUGCAGGAGCUCUGUGAGGAGAAAUUUUCGAAUAGGGAGUGUGUGGUGAUGGAGGAUUACUUGCCAAUUCUUGUCGGAUUGCUUGGAAGGAAUAACUCACAGAUAAGGAAUCACACACUCUAUAUUCUUCGAUUAUUGGUGGAAGAUAGCGAUGAUAACAGGGAAAAAAUAGCUGAAGUGGACAAUGCCAUUCAAUCCAUUGUGAAAUCUCUUGCACGGCGCACCGAUGAACGUAAAGCAGCAGUAGCGUUGCUGUUGGAGCUAUCAAAAAAUAAUGCAAUUUGCGGCCAUAUUGGAAAGGUACAAGGCUGCAUUCUUCUACUAGUGACAAUUAUAAACAGUGAUAACAACCAAGCUGCUGAUGAUGCUAGAGAGCUUUUGGAGAAUCUUUCUUUUCUAGAUGACAAUGUAGUGCUGAUGGCAAAGGCUAACUAUUUUCAGCCACUGCUCCGGUGUCUUGACUCAGGUCCAGAGUAUUUGAAAAUGAAAAUGGUAAAAGCAUUAGCUGAAAUGGAAUUAACUGAUCAUAGCAAGGAGACCUUGUUUAAAGAGGGAGCAUUGCAGCCACUUCUUCAGAUGCUCUCAUUAAGUGAUGCAGAUGGAAAAAGAAUGGCCAUUAAGGCUAUUCAGAAACUCUCCAGCUUUGGUCCUAAUGGUUUACAGAUCAUCAGGGACGGAGCAAUUUCACCACUUCUUGACCUACUAUUCCAGGCAAUACCAGCAUCUUCCAAUCUAAGAGACCAAGUUGCAGCUACUAUUUUGAAUAUCACUGUAUCAGCCGCUGCCUUGCAAACCAAUGAAGCCCUGAGUAUUCUGAAAUCAGAUGCUGAAAUUUCUCGGCUCUUUUCCUUGGUGAUGCUGACUGGGCCAACUAUACAACAAAGCAUUCUAGGAACAUUUUAUGCGCUGUGUCAGCUUCCAUCAGCGAAGGACAUGAGAACUAAGUUGAGGCAGUUUUCUGCAGUCCAAUUAUUAAUUUCACAAUGUGAGCACAGAGAUCUUUCUGUAAGAGCAAGUGCUGUUAAACUGCUAUCUUGCCUCAUGGAAGAUGGAGAUGAUAAUGUGUCAGUUGAAAGUGUUACUCAAAGGUGUCUGGAGACUUUGCUUUCCAUUAUCAAAACCUCUAAGGAUGAGGAAGAGGUAGCUGCUGCAUUGAGAAUCAUUUCUGAUCUUCCUAUAGGGUACACCCAUGUAACUCGAUGGAUUGCAGAUGCUGGAGCAAUAACAGUAUUUGUCAGUUAUAUUAGAGAUGCAAAGCUUAUUGGGCCCUUCAGGAAUAAGUUAAUAGAGAAUGCUCUUCGAGUUUUGUGCCGUUUCACAAUGUCAACAAAUCCAGAAUGCCAGAAAAUAGCCGCUAAGUCUGGAUUGAUCCCCUUGCUUGUCCAGUUGUUGGGAUCUGGCACUCCAGCUGCAAAACGAUAUGCAGCUACUUUGCUAUGUCAGUUUUCAGAGAGUUCACUCAGCCUGAGCAGGCUGGUAGAGCGACAUGGAGGUUUGUGGUGCUUUGCACCCCCACCUGAAAUACGAUGCCCAGUGCACAAUGGUGUUUGUUCAGCGGAGACAUCAUAUUGUCUUUUGGAAGCAGAUGCCAUAGGACCACUUCUGAGUUUGCUUGGAGACUCAGAUUCCAGCAUUUGUGAUGCCGCUCUAAGUGCACUCUCAACACUCAUAGAGGGCGAAAGGCUGCAAAGUGGCAGCAAGGUACUUCAUGAGUCAAAUGGCAUUGCACCCAUUGUAAAAGUUCUGAGCUCUCGGUCAACUGAGUUGCAAGAGAAGGCACUUAACGUUUUAGAGAGGAUUUUUCGACUGCAAGAGUAUAAGCGGAUCUAUGGUGCUUUAGCACAGAUGCCUUUGGUUGACAUAACUCAAAGAAGCAACGGUCCUGUUCGAGCUUUGGCAGCUAGAAUACUUGCUCAUUUGGAUGUGCUUCAUGAUCAAUCUUCCUAUUUCUAAGAGGCAGUUAUUUAGAUGCCAGGAUAAAGCUCAGUUCCAACUGAGUGGUAUAUCCACAAGUUCAGUUCAACAUUCCAUGCUUCAUUCGGGUCACAUGAUAACUUGGAAAGGGAUGAAUGUGGUUUGUAUCACGUUAAAGCCAUCUGGAGGACUUGGUGAGACAAUUCUCAUUGAGCACACCGAAACAAGAAAGCUAGCCAGUGCGUGCUGCUAUCACACACAUCAAUGCUGUUUUUAUGUGGAAAAGAAAGAAAACCAAGGUCACCCUGACAAAACUUUCAGCAUGAUAGCUCACAUUUGUCGCACAAUCUAACCGCUUAGAGCUUUUGACAUGGUUGAAGAAAGAUAUUGGGUAGCACGGUGUUUCUCAACUUGGCGACUGUUAAAGCUAUCGGUUAUUUCUUUAGGAAGGAACCAGAAGUUUUAUGUACAAUGUUGCACAUGCAAUCCACAUUUCAGACAUGCUCAUACACCCCCAACCGUAGCGCAGCUGAGACCAAAGAAGAAUUAUGAGUACCCAAUUCAAGAAGUACGGAGAGUGCACAUUCCUUGUUCUUGGGGGUGCCUUCUUUUAUCAGCUGCACGACGGUUUCAAUGAAAGGAAGCUGCCCUAUGGCAGUGUGGCCAUCAGGAUGUGAUGCCAGAAGAAGGAAGAUUGAGAGGGCUUCAUCCACCAUGCCAAGGUUCUUGUCACACAGUACAUUAAGCAGAGGAGCCACUAUUCCUGCAUCAAUAGCUCUAGCCUUGUUCCCAUAGUUCAGAACCAGAUUAAAGAGUGCAGUGGCAGCAUCCUUCUUCCCCCUAAUGGUCCCAUCCCGCAGAAGAUCCACCAAUGGAGGAAUGCCAUUCAUGUUCCCUAUCAUCACCUUGUUCUCUUCAAGCAUUGACAAACUGAACAAGGCUGUGGCCGAGUUCUCUUUAGCCUCAACCGUGCCGCUUUUCAAGAUUUCAAUUAUAGCAGGAAUUGCUCCUUCUUUGGCUAUGAUUCUUUUGUUCCUCUCAUCGAUCGACAAGUUCAACAGAGCUGUGACAGUCUGUUCUUGGAUCUUCGAAUCGGGAUAAGGUAUCAGGCCGACCAGAGCAGGUAUUCCACCAUGCUUAGCGAUCAAAAUCCUGUUAUCGGGAUUCUCCUUGGAGAGCAUGCGGAUCUUCUUCACUGCCUUCCGCUGCACAUCAAGAUGAAUGGAGGACAAAUCUCUCACCAAUGAAGGGAUCUCUUCCUUUUGCUCUAAAUGAUCAGAGUCCUGGUCUGCAUCUCUUUUCAACAGCUCAACUUGGUUCUUCUCACACCACUGCAUGAUCAAGUUACGAAGAGCAUAGUUUGGAGCUAAAGAGAGGUGAGCCAAAGUUUGUCUAGUCUUUGGGCAAUUUCGAUGACCUGCAUCCAGCCACUUCUGUAUGCUUCUUCGUUCAUAUGUCUGUGAGAACGGAGGAAAGAGCAGUUAGCAAAGAUUACCUUAUCACAAGACUCAAAAACAACAUAAUUGGAGCAACUUAAAGCACCUGUCCUGUUGCAACAAUGACAGGAUCCGACAUGAUCUCCAGAGAUACAGGACAGAGGAAGUCAUUUGGAAUCAUCAACGAUGGACACUUCUCGAGGUAUUUAGGCAAGGUGACGUCGCUUAACCCUUUAGAAUCUUCGACUCCUGCAACUCGUUUAAAUUUAUUGAGCAGAUCCAUGAUCUGCUGUGUACUGUCUGCAUUUGCCCCACAUCUUUCUUUGAUGAGCUUUUUGAUGGCCAUUGUUUCAGCUCUUAAAUCUGGUAGAGUUUGCAA
RNA transcript from Musa acuminata AAA Group (dessert banana), 5059 nucleotides. It is a transcript of the gene named U-box domain-containing protein 44-like, with no coding region annotated. The record is from RefSeq and is a predicted model, not a curated record. Lineage: Eukaryota; Viridiplantae; Streptophyta; Magnoliopsida; Zingiberales; Musaceae. The transcript has 5 exons.